RNAcentral lists this ribosomal RNA (254 nucleotides) under uncultured bacterium. RNAcentral's name for it is "partial 16S ribosomal RNA". It matches the Rfam family "Bacterial small subunit ribosomal RNA", at positions 524 to 776 of the family's 1533-position model. The record is from RNAcentral.
UACGAAGGGUGCAAACGUUGCUCGGAAUUAUUGGGCGUAAAGAGCUCGUAGGCGGUUCGUCGCGUCGGCUGUGAAAACCCGAGGCUCAACCUCGGGCCUGCAGUCGAUACGGGCGGACUGGAGUUCGGCAGGGGAGACUGGAAUUCCUGGUGUAGCGGUGAAAUGCGCAGAUAUCUGGAGGAACACCGGUGGCGAAGGCGGCAUCCUGGACCAACACUGACGCUGAGUGAGCGAAAGCCAGGGGAGCAAACGGG